GUGCCCUCCAUGGUCCCCACCCCGUCAGCCUUUGGGGUUUGCCCCUGUGAGUGUGUCCCCCUCGGUCUCUGCCCUGUCAGCCUUUGGGGUGUGCCCCUGUGAGUGUGCCCCCGACAGGCCCUGCCCUGUCAGCCUUUGGGGUGUGCCCCUGUGAGUGUGUCCCCCACAGGCCCUGCCCCAUCAGGCUUCGGGGUUUGCAUGGGGCCAGGUUUCCUCCUUGGGCAAAGGAGGCAUUUUUUCUGAUUAAAAAAACAUGCACGCGAGCCACCAAAGAGAAGAAAACAUGAGCUGCCAGUGUCCCCCAGCCGUGAGGACUGGGCAUGGGAGGGCAGGACUCACCCCGCUGGCCUCUGCCAGGCCCUGCCCCAUGGCCGCUGCCAUAACCCAGAGCUUGGAUUUGUCUGUGGUUCCUGGGGACGGCUGUGCUGGGAGAGGGUGAUACCUUGGAGGAUGGGCAGGGGCCGUGCAGCGGGGAGGGGACCUGGGAUGGGCGCUGGUGGGCUCACCUGGUGUCGUGUUCUCCACACGGUCAGCACUGCACCCGUCACACAGGCGAGGAAGCCCAAAGUAAAGGUGUCAGUGACCCGCAAGCACCUGCAAGUGCCCCGGAGGGCAGGAGCCUGGGGGUCUUGGACCCUGUCAUAGGGGGAAGGUGUGGGAGGGGCCACCAGAACCCAGGGAUGGGGAGCUGCUGGGAUGUGGGGGCGCACUGUGGAGCAGAAGAGCCAAGGGGUCUGAAGGAGAGGGGGACUGUGUGUCAGGCCUUUGCAGAAUGCUCUGGAAUAGGGCGUGGGCUCCUCCGCCUGGAGUCGGAGGUCGAGUAAGGAGGCGGUAGGAGGCGGCGGGGCCUGAGAGCAGAGAUCUUGGCCUGGUGGCUACAGCUGCAGGUGGCCUGCUCUGGUGUUGGGGGUAUGUGACACCGGCAAGGGGGUGUUAGGGAGGUGCAUCUGGUGGCUGUGGGAAGCUGACGAGGAGAACAGCAGGUGCCUGGCUUAGGCGACAAGGUGCAAGCACCCGCUCUCAUGGGGGAACGCCACGCAGGCCACACAGGCAGGUGCAUCAGGACUUUGCAGGACACAGCGGCCACGUGGGCUUCAGUAGAGCAGAAGAGCACUUUCUAUAGGCACCAUGCUUCUGCCGUGGACUUAGGAAUCAUAUUUUCAUUAUCUUUUCUUAGGUUUAUUUUCUUUCUAUGAAAUUAUAAAGACACACUUUUCUGUAUCUGUUUGAUACAUUUUAAAAUUAGUUUUUUUCACUGAGUCUUUAAUACAGCUGGACGCUGCUUGUAUAAUGUAUGAGGAGGCGUCUGAUUUAUUUUGUGAAUUUGCACAGAAAGUAAACAGCCCAACUUCAUUUCCGGCUAAGGUCUGGCUCCUCCCCUGAAGUGUAGCUCCUCCCUUGAGGUGUAGCUUCUGCCCUGAGGUGUGGCUCCUCCCCUGACGUGGCUCCUCCCCUGAGGUGUGACUCCUCCCCUGACGUGGCUCCUCCCUUGAGGUGUGACUCCUCUCCUGACGUGGCUCCUUCCCUGAGGUGUGACUCCUCCCCUGAUGUGGCUCCUCCCCUGAGGUGUGGCUCCUCCCCUGAGGUCUGGCUCUUUCUUCAUAGCUCUAUCUGCCCCUGUCUCAACCCUGUCUGGGUUCUGUCCCACUCAUCUCCGUCAUGCCACUGUUUGCCACAGCUUUGCAAUAGUCCUGACUCUAGGGUAGCAUGUCUUUAAAUUGGCCUUUCCUACUCUUGACGCUUUGGCUUUUCUGUGAGUU
Molecule: long non-coding RNA, 1760 nt
Organism: Sapajus apella (tufted capuchin)
Lineage: Eukaryota; Metazoa; Chordata; Mammalia; Primates; Cebidae
Exons: 2
Source: RefSeq, a predicted model, not a curated record